GUCUACGGCCAUACCACCUUGAACUUGCCCGAUCUCGUCUGAUCUCGGAAGCUAAGCAGGGUCGGGCCUGGUUAGUACUUGGAUGGGAGAAUAGCCAAGGUAAUACGGAGCACA
RNAcentral lists this ribosomal RNA (114 nucleotides) under Castor canadensis (American beaver). Lineage: Eukaryota; Metazoa; Chordata; Mammalia; Rodentia; Castoridae. The record is from RNAcentral.